This 468-nucleotide ribosomal RNA is filed under the name uncultured bacterium. RNAcentral describes it as "partial 16S ribosomal RNA". It matches the Rfam family "Bacterial small subunit ribosomal RNA", at positions 28 to 507 of the family's 1533-position model. The record is from RNAcentral.
GACGAACGCUGGCGGCGUGCUUAACACAUGCAAGUCGAACGGAAAGGCCCUGCUUUUGUGGGGUGCUCGAGUGGCGAACGGGUGAGUAACACGUGAGUAACCUGCCCUUGACUUUGGGAUAACUUCAGGAAACUGGGGCUAAUACCGGAUAGGAGCUCCUGCUGCAUGGUGGGGGUUGGAAAGUUUCGGCGGUUGGGGAUGGACUCGCGGCUUAUCAGCUUGUUGGUGGGGUAGUGGCUUACCAAGGCUUUGACGGGUAGCCGGCCUGAGAGGGUGACCGGCCACAUUGGGACUGAGAUACGGCCCAGACUCCUACGGGCGGCAGCAGUGGGGAAUAUUGCAAAAUGGGCGGAAGCCUGAUGCAGCAACGCCGCGUGCGGGAUGACGGCCUUCGGGUUGUAAACCGCUUUCGCCUGUGACGAAGCGUGAGUGACGGUAAUGGGUAAAGAAGCACCGGCUAACUACGUG